Myotis brandtii (Brandt's bat) is the source of this 76-nucleotide non-coding RNA. Lineage: Eukaryota; Metazoa; Chordata; Mammalia; Chiroptera; Vespertilionidae. The record is from Rfam.
GGAAGUUCUCAGGUGACGCACCCUGGAAUCGGGCUUCCUUCUCUCUGGUUCUGGGUUGUAUCACCUGAGAACCACU